This 340-nucleotide long non-coding RNA is filed under the name Gossypium raimondii (Peruvian cotton). Its description in RNAcentral is "long non-coding RNA (GRAI_LNC001962)". Lineage: Eukaryota; Viridiplantae; Streptophyta; Magnoliopsida; Malvales; Malvaceae. The record is from RNAcentral.
GAUUACAGAAUUUUUUAUUCUCCGGCCACCGCAGACGGCGGUGCCGGCGCCAGAGAUCGGGAACCGGCGCGGUGGUCGUUGAUCGUCCGAUGGCCGGCCAAUGGCCGGAGGACAGAGGGGUUGAGAGAGAGUUUUAAAGGUUUUUUUUGUUUUUUUUUGAACUGGUUUUGAAAUGAAUUUUUUUUGAAGGAAAGAGGCUUAUAUACGGCACCUAAACGGUGCAGUUUUGGAAAGCCUCCAGAUGCGUAAAAUGACAUCAUUUUGAGACGUCCGACCCAAAUUCGACCCGACCCAGUUUUAGGGUCCGCGUGUUUUAUAUGGAGGGGCUAAUUGCGCUUUU